CACAGGAGGAGAAGCAGGAGCUGUCGUGAAGAUCAGAAGCCAGUCAUGGAUGACCAGCGCGACCUUAUCUCCAACAAUGAGCAACUGCCCAUGCUGGGCCGGCGCCCUGGAGCCCCGGAGAGCAAGUGCGGCCGCGGAGCCCUGUACACAGGCUUUUCCAUCCUGGUGACUCUGCUCCUGGCUGGCCAGGCCACCACUGCCUACUUCCUGUACCAGCAGCAGGGCCGGCUGGACAAACUGACAGUCACCUCCCAGAACCUGCAGCUGGAGAACCUGCGCAUGAAGCUUCCCAAGCCUCCCAAGCCUGUGAGCAAGAUGCGCAUGGCCACCCCGCUGCUGAUGCAGGCGCUGCCCAUGGGAGCCCUGCCCCGGGGGCCCAUGCAGAAUGCCACCAAGUAUGGCAACAUGACGGAGGACCAUGUGAUGCACCUGCUCCAGAAUGCUGACCCCCUGAAGGUGUACCCGCCGCUGAAGGGGAGCUUCCCGGAGAACCUGAGACACCUUAAGAACACCAUGGAGACCAUAGACUGGAAGGUCUUUGAGAGCUGGAUGCACCAUUGGCUCCUGUUUGAAAUGAGCAGGCACUCCUUGGAGCAAAAGCCCACUGAGGCUCCACCGAAAGGUACAGGGAGUGGGAGCUUUAGCGUGCCAGGGCUUCUGGACCCUCGGGGCUCUCCUGGAGCUGCAGAGGCCGGGGCCUCCAGCACUCCCUGGUCCCAGCACCGCGGAAUCUCCCAUCCUCUCAGCUCUCACUUCUUUCUCACUUCUCUCUUUCUCCUGUCUGUUCCUUCUUGGUUUGGCUGUCCCCCUCCCCUG
This 816-nucleotide small RNA is filed under the name Pongo abelii (Sumatran orangutan). RNAcentral's name for it is "retained intron". The record is from RNAcentral. Lineage: Eukaryota; Metazoa; Chordata; Mammalia; Primates; Hominidae.